RNAcentral lists this unclassified non-coding RNA (517 nucleotides) under Hevea brasiliensis (rubber tree). The record is from RNAcentral. Lineage: Eukaryota; Viridiplantae; Streptophyta; Magnoliopsida; Malpighiales; Euphorbiaceae.
UUUUUUUUUCAUUAUUAUUCUUACAGUAUUUUGUGACAAUCAUGUCAUUGGUGGGAUUUGAAUGCAUUAUGCUUAUGUUUUGACAAUCUUUCAUGCAAAACAAUUAGGAAAUCAUUCAGAAGGAAAAUCUGCAUCAUUCUAGUCUAGUUCUCCAAGAUAUGAAAUUGGUUGACCAUCACUACAUGCAGCUAUCCAUAUGUAGUUUAACCAUGGUGUAUUAGAUGGUAAUAUUUGCUGAUCAGAUUUAUGCUACUCAUAAAUAUUCAGUGAUAGUUGCAUAUCCAUCCAAAUGUUUUGGUGAUAGUUGCACAUAGGUUGGCACAUGUAGUAUGCAGAUCCAUGCAUACACAUAUAUUAUCCGUAAAGCAUAUGUAUAUAUGAAUGCAUUUAAGCAUGCCUGCAAUACUUAUAUGACUGCAUGUGUGAACUCCCGUAUUUAUGUAUGCAUACAUACUUAUGGGAUUUGGCUUAAGUUGAAUGCAGGAGGAAAGGAAGUAUGCUUGCGGUUGAAAUCAUG